RNAcentral lists this long non-coding RNA (1134 nucleotides) under Carassius auratus (goldfish). RNAcentral describes it as "lncRNA (ENSCARG00000002149.1)". The record is from RNAcentral. Lineage: Eukaryota; Metazoa; Chordata; Actinopteri; Cypriniformes; Cyprinidae.
CCUUCAAUGUGUAGAAUAAAACCCAUUUUCUGUUCUACAUUCAAUGCAGGGACAAAUUUCUGGACUGUGAAAGGAUCCCAGGUAAAAGGCAGAGCGAAAAACAUCAGCAGCCUGGGGUUCCCAUCAUGGGUACAGCAGAUAGAUGCUGCAGUCCACAUUCACAAAACUGUACACACCCUGUUCUUCACCCAACACCAGUACUGGAGGUGAACUAUAAAGAUGCAAGAGCAGUCUUAAUAUCACUAAUAUCAGUCUCAAUGAAUGACACUGCAAAUGUUUUUUUUUCUUCUCAUAGGUAUAAUGAACACAACAAGACAAUGAGUGACUCCAGCCCACGUAACAUUUCUGACGACUUCCCAGAAAUAAAUGGACCCCUGAGUGCAGCAAUUUAUAAAGAUGGUUCUCUUCAUUUCUUUGUUGGCUCCGAUGUGUAUGAAUAUGACGUCAAACAAAAGGAAAUUAUUGGUGCAGAUAAGACAACUUCCUGGCUUGGAUGUUAACGGACAUUCGUUAGACUAAUAGUUCCUAAAUCCAAUUAUAUUUUAAAGGUGAAUCAUGCAGCAAAAGUGGCUGCAAAGAUGGCAUUAGUUAUGUUGUACUGAACUGUAUUUUUCAGCAUGGUGAGCUUGUGUUUUAUGUGGUGAAUGCAUCUACUGUUUAAUGUCUUUGGAACAUAUUUGAAAUGCAAAUGUAUCUAAAAAGUCAGAAUGUGGUUUCAAUUCAAAUUUAUGACUGUAUCAUUACUUCUAAAGAAAAAAAACGUGUUUGCCAUUCAGUUCUGCAGUUGCAUGACUGAGGUAAACCGAAGUAUUUAGCCUGGAUAUGCACUAAUCGGUGUGUGUGUUCAUGACUGUAAUAAAAUAAGUAAUAAAAGUACUUCUGGAAAUCCUUUUCAUGCAAAAAGAAUAUUUCAGAAUAUACCAAAUGAACAAAAUCUUAAAUCGUUUUCCAAAAAUCAUGACACAAUCAUAAUCCUCUUCACCCACUAAGAUUCCUGAUGCGAAACUAGACGUGAUCUCAUUUUGUGGACGACAAAAGCCACUAAAUGCCUGACGAUAAAUUCUUGUUUUGAGGGCCUGGGUCCCACGUGAUUUCUUACUGUCUUAAGGUAUGCAUGAGUUGUAUAAGACCCAG